GGCCGUCCCCCUUCCCCGUCCGCCCGACUCAGACGUACCUACCGGUAACGGGGGCGAAGGCAGUUGGGGGAAAGUAAUUAGGGACAAUGGGGGCAACCCUGAUCCAGCGAUGCCGCGUGAGUGAAGAAGGCCUUCGGGUCGUAAGCUCUUUAGGUUGGGAAGAAGGGUACGGUAUGAAUAAGAUCGUACUUUGACGGUACCGACAGAAUAAGCACCGGCAAACUCUGUGCCAGCCGCCGCGGUAAUUC
Molecule: ribosomal RNA, 248 nt
Filed under: uncultured bacterium
Lineage: Bacteria
Description: partial 16S ribosomal RNA
Rfam family: Bacterial small subunit ribosomal RNA
Source: RNAcentral